Molecule: ribosomal RNA, 500 nt
Filed under: uncultured Myrionecta
Lineage: Eukaryota; Ciliophora; Litostomatea; Cyclotrichida; Mesodiniidae
Description: bacterial SSU rRNA
Rfam family: Eukaryotic small subunit ribosomal RNA
Source: RNAcentral
AACUUACCAGGUCAAGACAUGGGCGUGAUUGACAGGCUAAUGACUUUUCUCGAUUCCAUGGAUGGUGGUGCAUGGUCGCACUUAGUUGGUGCAGUGAUUUGUCAGGUUUAUUCCGGUAACGAACGAGACCUCGGCCUUGUAAAUAGCUAUGCUGCUUACAGGGACAUUGGCGGCUACGCCAAGGAAGCUCGAGGCAAUUGCAGAUCUGGAAUGCCCUUAGAUGUCCUGGGUCGCACGCGUGCUACAAUGACGCCACGAACGAGCUUGCGUGAUGAAAGUUACGCAUAAUCAGCAGUCGGCGUCUUAAGGGAUAGUCUCUUGUAACUGUGGGACUCCAACUAGGAAUGUCUCGUAAGCACAAGUCAACAUCUUGUGUUGAUUACGUCCCUGCUCUUUGUACACACCGCCCGUCGCUCCUACCGAUCGAGUGUUUAGGUGAAUUUGAUGGACGUAAGGAAGUCAAAUAAACCUGAGCACUAGAGAAGAGAAGUCGAGCAUCC